GGUUCUUUUUUAUGGAAAGAAUAUGUUGCACGUUCUUCAAUAGUAUCAUCUUUUCGGACCGAACUUUAGAAUGGUCAUACCAAUACAAGAAUACGCUCAUGAGACCUGUUUCCCAUUAGCAAGACUCUAGUCCCGCUGACCUGAUAAGAAGAAAACAAAGAAGCAUCAGCAUACACAUUUAUAUUAGCUGUAGUAUCCAUUCACCACUCAAACGAAUGACAAACUGCAAAAAAAUGGUAAAGAAUUGCCAUAUUCAGAUGUUCCUCCUUUAGGCUCGCUAACAAUCAUACAUGUUUGUAGGUUUCUUUUCUCACUAGUCAUGCACUUGCCCAAUGCUCAUUGCUCCUGCAAACAAAGCAAACACCUUAUUUGUUCUUUUUCUUCUUAUAAAAGUGGUUGUUUUCUUAGCCUUCGAGUUGUUCUCUUGCUUGUUCUUUUUUCUUUUUUUUUAUGAUGAGAUACAUUAGAGUUUUUCUUCUACACCAUAUUGGCACUAGAAGACUCAACUACUUUUCCACAUGUGUCAUUUAGACUCACCCUAUCCUCAACAUCAAGAGACCCAAUAAGCUCAACCAUGCUAAACUCUUCUCUAGUGCUUUAGAGAUAUAGCAAAAUCCCUACAGAAAGGUGAUAACUUAGCGAUAAUACCUCUAACCACAAACUUGUUAGGCAAUAUACAUAGAAACUGCUUGAGUUCCUUAGCUAGUCCUUUUAUUUCAUGAGCCUAUUCCACUAGUGAACAAUUAUCAACCAUUUUGUAGUCAUACAACUAUUUCAUGAUGUACAUCUCACUACCAGCAUA
Molecule: long non-coding RNA, 802 nt
Filed under: Sorghum bicolor (sorghum)
Lineage: Eukaryota; Viridiplantae; Streptophyta; Magnoliopsida; Poales; Poaceae
Description: long non-coding RNA (SBIC_LNC016497)
Source: RNAcentral